AUCAAGCGGAAGAGACCAGCCUCCCCUGGACCCAGCUGUGUGUCCAUGAAGAGUGGCUGGUCUAUGGGUGAACCUCUAAACUUUAGAGAGGGAGACUUUUCUACUGAACAAAGAAACCAACAGGAGACAUCAGAGUCAGAGAGCCUCAGUGGUCAGUCUUCCCAGAGUCAUCAAACAGACCUGGCCUCCAUAUUCAGUUUGCUUGAAGAGAAUAUUAUGACAUUUGUGAAGAACGAG
Non-coding RNA from Salvelinus sp. IW2-2015, 237 nucleotides. The record is from RefSeq and is a predicted model, not a curated record. NCBI's taxonomy places the organism in Eukaryota, Metazoa, Chordata, Actinopteri, Salmoniformes, Salmonidae.